RNAcentral lists this ribosomal RNA (547 nucleotides) under Blastocatellia bacterium. RNAcentral's name for it is "partial 23S ribosomal RNA". It matches the Rfam family "Bacterial large subunit ribosomal RNA", at positions 1007 to 1563 of the family's 2925-position model. The record is from RNAcentral. Lineage: Bacteria; Pseudomonadati; Acidobacteriota; Blastocatellia.
GUGGACGAGAGGGAAAGAGCCCAGACCAUCAGCUAAGGUCCCAAAAUUUACACUAAGUGGAGAACGUUGUGGGGUUACUUUGACAACUAGGAGGUUGGCUUAGAAGCAGCAAUCCUUUAAAGAAAGCGUAAUAGCUCACUAGUCUAGUGACCCUGCGCGGAAGAUACAACGGGGCUAAGUGUAAUACCGAAGCUAUGGCUAACGUAAGUUAGGGUAGGGGAGCGUUCUGCUCUAGGAUGAAGGUUGACCGUAAGGACAGCUGGACGAAGCAGAAGUGAUCAUGCUGACAUAAGUAGCGUAUAACUUGAGUGAAAAACUCAAGCGCCGAAAACUCAAGGGUUCCUGGGCAAGGAUAAUCCUCCCAGGGUUAGUCGAGACCUAAGACGAGGCCAAUUGGCGUAGUCGAUGGAAGAACGGUUAAUAUUCCGUUACCAAUUUCGGAUUGCCUUCGGAAUGACGGAUUAGGCUAUCUCAGCCUGUAAUUGGAUUCAGGUGUAAGCAUGUAGGUGGUGUCGUAGGUAAAUCCGCGGCACUUAACACUGAGGUG